UCUAAGUGACACCAUGCAUGUAACAUUUUGAAUAAAGUUUUUUUUUUUUUAAUUUUAGGCACCUCAAUAUGAAAACAUUAACCUUUGUCUCUCUCUAAAUAAGCACAGACUAUGUUUGGCAUUGCACAUUCCUUCCCCGCAAAGAGCUUAUAACUAGAGCAAACCAGUCAAAGGGUAGCUAGGUUAUAGUGUGACAUGUGGGAAUUGAAUUAACAGGGGAUUUCUUUUUCUUUUUUUUGUUUGUUUAGCUAUGGAAAUUCAUACCAGGCAUAUGUCCAUCCAUACCUCAUUUCUUAAUUUUGUGACUAUAAAAUUUGGAUCACUGGAAAGGGAAAUGGAGAGUUUGUUGUUUAGCCACAGAGCAAAUACAUGUAGUUGCAGAACAAGAUUUCUCUUGAUGCAGGGUUUUUCUGUUACUGUGCCUGAUCUAAAGAUUGAGGCAAACCUUUGGCCUACUUAGCCAUAGUAACAUAUCUAAAAAGUUGCAAAGUAGUGGGUUUUGGAUUAUUGCUAACAUAAAAACAAUCAGUUACAACAGUAACUGCUUUUUUUUUUUUUCAUAAUCAGCGUACUUUGGGUUUGGGCUAGUGACACAGUGAUGAAGUGUUUGCUAUCCUGUGGUUGAUCCAUCCGUUUUCACUCACUUGAUCUGAUCCAAACUUGGGGAUCAUUUAUUUUGUUCCCUUGCCAGAGAACACAGAAGCGCCAUUUCUGGUGACAUGAUGCAUUCUGGUGUGCUACACAUUUAGCUCUGUCUGCUGGAGAAGUAACAAAGGUCAAAUGAAGUUGUAGGUGUAGGAACUACUUUCCCCUACCAAGACUGAGGAAAGGAGCAUGUGCAGGUACAGCCAGUCUGUUGUUGCUGAGUUUCUGGUUUUGUGCCCACAGGAUCUGUAUUAUCGAUCACAGUCCUGCCAUCUACAAACCAGCUCACAGGAGAUUGAUUUCUGAGAUGAACUAUCCUGCACUGAUAAACAUCUCUCAUAACACCCUGAUGUUCACCGUGUGAUCCUGGAGAAGAGAGACGGUGAUUCAUCAGAACCCAUCCCUCCCUGACCACUGAAGGGCUGUUACCCAGAAGAUGGAGCUCUUUCCCUGAGACUGGUGCUGGAGAUCUUAACAAAUGCAAAUCAUACAGGGGUGUUCUGUGAAUCAGUACUGCUGCCACUGCCGCCAUGCUGCAGCUUCGCUGGACGGUGCUGUGCAUCUCUGUUCCCCACCGUUCAAUUCAGAGCAUUCGCGCUGUGCUGAACAGUGUGUGGUGUCGUCAGAAAGAAAGGUGAGUCGUCACCAGCUGUUUGUGCCACAGUUCCCACCUGCAAAGUGAGUAGAAAAUUGUUUCUUCCCCCUAUUCUUUGACAGUAUUGCAGAUGUUUGAAUUUGGGUGGCUUUUUUGGUUUGGGUUUGUUUUAAAUUUUUUUUUUCCCUACUUGUGAGAGUUUCACUGCCCUUAAAAGAGGCUCAUGCCCGUACAGGACUGUAGGAGGAGGACUCCCUUACCCUGCCCUAAUGCAGUCCCUGCACAACAUGUUGUUGUAAAUCCCUCAUUGCUUUAUAUCCUACCUAAAACUAAUUAUUUAUUUUUUUUUAAUUUAGCCCCUUUGUGACAGCAGCUGGUGUUACUUGUGGACAUGCAUUACCUUUUUAGCUCCUUCUCUCCUGGAUUUAAAUGGACUUCCCCUUUUUUGGCAUGUCCAUUUUUCCAGCAAGCCCUAUUUACCUGUCACCCUGGAGGACGUGCUGGAAUGGACCAAUUUCAGCUCCUUGAAUAGGGGAGCAGCCAUUUGCUGGGCAGAAGAAGCAGCACAUAGGCUUGGGAGCUCUUAAGGGAGACUUCAGUGUUUACAUCAAAGAGAGUCUAUCUAUCCUCACCUUCUUCAAAAGGAUUAAUUUGGUAUUUUCUAUGUAGAAGGGAAUUUUGAGUGACUUUUAAAGGCUGGUGAGGGUGGGGUGAUAGAUUUUCAUGUUUCUGUAGAAGUACCAAGAAUGCUGCUAUGUCCUUUUCCCUGUAAACACGUGCUGAGUGUUGGAUGCUGAUUGGUGACACUUGACCCCACAGCCUCUGCUGAGUUGUUACGGGAACGCCCGUGUGGACACAUCUGGUACAGAGAGAAAAGGUAUGCUGGCUCCUCAGAUUGAGGUAGAGGCUGGCUCACGAGUAACUAUGGCAACCAAGCUGUCACUGUGAGCAUCAAGACAUUUACAUACCAAAAAAUAAAAAACCCCAAAUGGACUGCAAUAUACGUUAAUGCUCCAGCUCAUCUGGAGAUCUGUCCCUCGAUUUUGUUCCUCAGGGAUGUUGGCAGCUGUGGCUAUCACAUGUAGGUAGGAAUUUUUUUUCCCUGCUCUAUCCACUGCAUCAGCAGCAAAAAUUGUUCCUGGUGAUAAAUGUAAUGGUUUCCAAUUAAAAGGGGACAUUUGAACUUCAAGUUGGAGAAACACUGAAGGCAAUUUUGUAUUCACCAUAAAAAGUUUCAUCAGUCACAUGCUUCCAAAAACAGUGUGCUUCCAUCAAUAUUUAUAGCAUUCAGCUCCGUGUUUUCACAGAAGAGCCAUUAAGACAACAUAUCAACUCUCGUGACAAGUUACAUUCAACUGCUGUGAACAAAGACGUUCUUUCUUUCUCUACAAACUCCUCUUUUUUCUUUUUUUAAUCGACCAUGAGGUUUGAGUUUUGAAGGAUAUAUGCGGAUGUGCUUCCCAGUGUUUUCUAGAAGGCUACUAGUGAGAUGACAGAGUGAGCUCAUAGAAGCUUGUGGAAGACAUUGCUCUCCAGCUGCCAGAAUUGUUACAGCCGGCCAAACGACCUGCACGCAUCUGCUGCUGCUCCUUCCCAUGCAUUCAGAGGCUCAGGGGACCAUGGGAGAUACACGUCCAGGACAGACUGUACCACCACGUUCAGUUACGUUUGAUUUUUUCUGCCAACAGUAUUUAUUUGUGCAUGCAAAGCAAAGGGAUGGUUCGUUUGCUUCAUCACUUGUGUUGGCAAAAUGAUUGUGCUGGUUUUUUUUCCAGGUUCAUCUCUCGCGAUCCCGCAUGGGACAGCAGAAUUUGAGCUAUGCCGUACAAUUUCACUUUUUGGUGGACCCAUUUUUGAACCUGGGAGGAAUUGGGGGGGGGGGGGAGGGGGGAGAAAUCUUUU
Non-coding RNA from Phalacrocorax carbo (great cormorant), 3142 nucleotides. NCBI's taxonomy places the organism in Eukaryota, Metazoa, Chordata, Aves, Suliformes, Phalacrocoracidae. The record is from RefSeq and is a predicted model, not a curated record.